GAUACCGACGUCCAAGAUCUCGAAGAGCAGUGUCAGUUCGUGACUGAAAGCCUUGGCGUUUUGCUGUCCCUGAUACACGUUAUUCUACAAAUUUGUUAAACAAACACGUACAUUGUUUUAAAAGUCUAGAAAUGGCUACUGGUCUCGAUAACUUAAAUGGCUCUCAUUUGAUUAAUCACGAUGAUUUGCAAGGUCUAUCGUCUCAUUGCCAAGAAAGCGAAAGCCCAAAUUUCAGCCAGAAGAGUGCGUGCUUCUCAUACGGUGGCCGAAGUUUGUUGUCACCCGUCUCGGGGACGGAAGACGGGUUUCAAGACCUCUCAUCGGCCAGCCGAACCAACCGUGCGACUCCUAACGAGAUUUCUGCUCCCUACGAAGUCCCACAAUUUCCAAUAGAAGAAAUUGAACGAAAAUUAGCCAUUCAAAGGCAACUGAGUCUUAGAUUCCCACCAGAAUUAGUUCCGCAUCUAACAACUUCUCACGAACCUGGAAUCGAAAUCGAUUCGUCUCAGGCAGCCGCUACUGGUUUACCCACUGUUGAACAAGACUACACGCCACUCUUCCAACGAGUCUCCAUUACAGGAGAUGAGGACACAGGAGGAGUUCCCUAUGAAGAUUUGUUGGACGCCUCUGAACUGCUGAUUAAAUCGCUGACACUCCGCAGAGAUUAUUGCCGCCCGGCUGCGCACUCCUUCCCUUCGACCACAGCCCGUUUCCUUCAAACCAACGAACGGAACGGCAUUGCAGAUGUGGAAACGGUCCACGAAGAAAAAAAGACCGUAGAAGAUCACCCAAUUCACCCUCCGCCUCACGUCUUGUCAUCGCACAACGACGGCGAAAUUCCUGAAUCGGCAAACUGCGUCAUUAAGGCCUUGGAUGGUGUAUUUCAAGUUUACGAAAGUCAAGAGGCAGCCGAUAAUGGUGAAAGUCUGAAUUUCUCCUACCCGGUGUUCAAGAAGUACAUUGACGACGUUCACAAAAUGUGCAACAUGAUAUCAAAUGGGCCAUUGAAAUCAUUCUGCUAUCGCCGACUUACGUAUCUCUCAGCCAAAUACCAACUUCACGUUCUUUUAAACGAAAUGCAAGAGUUAGCUCUCCAAAAGUGCGUCCCGCAUCGAGAUUUCUACAACAUCCGAAAAGUGGACACUCACAUUCACGCAGCUUCGUGUAUGAACCAAAAACAUUUAUUGCGCUUCAUUAAGAAGAAGAUGAGGGACAGCGGCAACGAAGUUGUUUGUCUGAACAAAAAAGGCCAGGAGUUGACAUUGAAUCAAGUGUUCGAAGAAAUGAAUCUCUCCGCUUAUGAUUUGACAGUCGACAUGCUUGACGUUCACGCGGAUCGCAAUACCUUCCAUCGAUUCGAUAAGUUCAAUGCGAAAUAUAAUCCUAUAGGAGAAAGUCGUUUACGCGAAGUAUUUCUUAAAACCGAUAACUACGUGGGAGGGAAAUAUUUUGCAGAAAUUAUUAAAGAGGUAGCCGCAGACUUGGAGGAGAGUAAAUAUCAAAAUGCCGAGUUGCGACUAUCUGUCUAUGGAAAAUCCAGGGAUGAGUGGGAGAAAUUGGCCAAGUGGGCUCACAACUUUCAAGUUUAUUCGGACAAUAUCCGCUGGCUGGUUCAAAUGCCGCGUUUAUAUGAUAUUUAUAGAUCAAACAAGCUGAUUAGCAACUUUCAACAACUGAUCGACAAUCUAUUUCUUCCUUUAUUCGAAGCAACCAACAAUCCAGAAGCGCAUCCCGAGUUACAUUGUUUUCUUAAACAGUUGGUGGGUUUUGAUUCUGUUGACGAUGAAAGUAAACCUGAACAUCCGGUGUUCGAUAGAGAAGUUCCAACACCGGAAGAGUGGACGGAAGAAGAAAAUCCUCCUUACGCUUAUUACGUCUACUACGUUUACGCCAAUAUGUGUGUUUUAAACCAAUUUCGAAAGUCACGAGGAAUGAACACUUUCGUCUUCAGACCUCAUUGCGGCGAAGCAGGGCCAGUUCAACAUUUGAUUUGUGGUUUCCUUCUCGCUGAAAAUAUUUCUCAUGGUUUGCUAUUGAGAAAGGUCCCAGUGUUGCAGUAUUUAUACUACUUGUGCCAGAUCGGAAUAGCAAUGUCUCCAUUGAGCAAUAAUUCUCUUUUUUUGAAUUAUCAUCGCAAUCCACUUCCCGAGUUUCUGGCCCGAGGAAUGUGCAUUUCUCUUUCGACAGAUGAUCCGCUUCAAUUUCAUUUCACCAAAGAACCUUUAAUGGAAGAAUACAGCAUUGCAGCUCAAGUGUGGAAACUUAGCCCGUGCGACAUGUGUGAAUUGGCUCAUAAUUCCGUUCGAAUGAGUGGCUACCCUCAUAAAGUGAAACAACAUUGGCUAGGCCCCAACUAUACACGCGAAGGUGUGGCCGGUAAUGACAUUUUCAGGACGAACGUCCCUGACAUACGCGUUGCAUACCGCUAUGAAACACUGGUAGCGGAACUAAAUAGCAUUUUCAAAACUGUUUUACUCAACGAUCAUAAAGGAUUUGUUAACGAAAAAUGAGCGAAAAGUAGAGCCUAUAUACAGUUAAAACUGUAAUAAGCAACGAUUCUGUAAGUGCAGAUACAAAGUAACCGAAUUUGUCAUGCUUAUAUUAAAAAAAAAAAAACAUAAAAAAAAGUUUUUAAAUUAGUAAUGAGUGCAUUUUUCUUUUUCUGAGAAGUAGGGGAGGGGACUUAUCUCUAUUUGAAACGAAUUUUAUUAGUUUUUUAACAAUCAUUCCUUGAUUUGGUAUUACUGGCUUUUAGAAGAUAAAAGAACUAAAUUUUAAUGCCAUUAUUUAAAAACAUAAUAAAUCGUUAUUCAUCAAAUUCGUCUAAUACACUAUUAAAAAACAGCGCUUUUUUUUAAUCUGCAAAAUUUGAAAUAUAUAUAUACUGUAUAUAGUUGGUAGUUUCUAAAAUAUUAGGACUAACAUCACGAAUUUUAAUGUUAAAAACACACAAGGCACAACUUACUUUGAAUUUGCAAUGGACUCUAGCUCUAGCUUCAAUAAGAGAUAUAGAAGUAGAAAAUAUUUUCUAUAUCUGUUAUUCUUAUCUGUUAAACGUUUUACUUUACACUGUAAUGGCAAAUGGCAAUAAAGCGCCCGAUAUCGCUCAGAUUCAAACAAUUGUGCUUCAAUGCGUUGCCAACAGGGGGGACCUUCGAGUAAGGAGUAGUUCAAGUUCGGGAAAAGAAUAUGUUAAAAACUCUUCAUUUUUUCCCGAGGUGAAUACUCAACAUAGAUUUAUUGCUGCCUGUACUGUAUUACUCUAUAUGUGCGCAAGCACAAGCUUAGAAAUGCUUUAAGUAUAAUACUGCUUGAACGCUGCCAACUCAUUGAUAGGAUUUGAAAAUGUCCGUGCAUAUAAUCAUUCAUUCAUGGAGUUUCAAGUAACUGAAAAAAGAAGUGUAGACGGCCACUCGUCUGAAUCUGUAAAUCCAAGGAAACAAGUUUCUAAAUGCCCCGCGGGAGUUGCUAACCUAUUUUUGUUUCAUUUCUGUGUGGACUUUCGUCCGAGAUAAAACGCACAUUUGUUUACUCUCAGAGAACUUGCGCUGGAAAUAUGUUGACAAGGGCGAGGAACCAGAAUAUUCUGCGUCGGUUGAUAUGUGCGCCCCAAGGUCGACGAUACCAGCAUAAUCAACAUGUGGUUACACCAACGAAAAUCUACGAACUACGAACCUAUGCAAUAUGGCCACAAAAUGUUAAAGAUUUUCUUAAUUUGACUUCAGAAGAAUUUCAUCUGAGAACUUCUCAGUCCAAACUGAUUGGAUAUUGGACAAGUGAGUUAGGCGGACUUAACGAAGUAGUACACAUAUGGGAAUACGAUAGUUUAGAGCAUCGCGCACAAGUACGAGCAAGCUUAGCUGGAAACAGCGAAUGGAUACAACGCUAUUUUGGCAAAAUUUUGCCUUGGAUGAGUGGCCAGCAAAAUUCCGUAGUUUCAGUCAUACCUGGAAUCACACUGAGCAACUCGGUGGAAAAGGGCGUGUAUCAACUGCAGACGUUUCCUAUCACUCCAAAUCAACUGGAAAAAAGUCCAACUUUAAUUGAGCAAAAUAGUGGCAAUCUUCUCAUCGGCGCAUUCCAAACACUACACGGGAAUUUAAAUACUUCAGUUCUGCUUUGGAAACACCCCACACUCUCAGCAGCAACUAAUUUAGUGUUUCAACAAAUGAAAAGCAAAGAUUGGCAGCAGAUUGCAAAUGGAUAUUCCAAAAUCUUAGUGCCUCAUAAAGUAUCACCCCUGCAAUAGAUAGUUUUAAAUUAGAAACUUCCUUGGCAUGUGUAAAAAUUCAAAUGUGACUGAAUUUUCAAAAAUACAUUGACAAACUGGCGCUAUA
RNAcentral lists this unclassified non-coding RNA (4337 nucleotides) under Daphnia pulex (common water flea). RNAcentral's name for it is "aMP deaminase 2-like, transcript variant X11". Lineage: Eukaryota; Metazoa; Arthropoda; Branchiopoda; Diplostraca; Daphniidae. The record is from RNAcentral.